ACGAUUCAGGAAAUAUUGCAUGGGAUAUUGGAAAAAUGUCUGCGGAGCUGAGCUGGCAUGUGAUCCAAUGCAUACAUAGUCUUGCAUCUAUGUAGGUUCUUUCACAGUCCUACUAGAUUUCCUGGGCUGGUUGUCUAAAUGUGAAGGAAAAACUACUGAUGGGAAUGUGUCUCCUAUCUGUUAUGACUGCUGUAGAUCUUCAAGAACGGGUGGUGGCAGCAAGGAUGGUGAGUCUACAACAGGUACUGAUUCAUGUUGUGAGGUAUCUGCAGAAGAGGGAGUUACAACUUUAUGUGGAGGAAUUGCAGUGGAAGAUGAAGGAGAGUAUCACAUAUGCACAGCCCAAUGGCCCUGCCUCCAAAUUUAUCUCCCCCUACUAGGACUUUGGCAAAGCACAGACAUCCUAUGAUCCUCAUAUGUUGUAAAAAAGGUGCUCUUCCUUACAUCAUCUGGAAUGAAGGCUUCCCUGAUAAUACUGACAGGGAAAGUCUGUUAAUGAUAUAAGCUGCUGCUUGCAUACAUUCUCCCA
This 529-nucleotide long non-coding RNA is filed under the name Nicotiana benthamiana. Its description in RNAcentral is "long non-coding RNA (NBEN_LNC026411)". The record is from RNAcentral. Lineage: Eukaryota; Viridiplantae; Streptophyta; Magnoliopsida; Solanales; Solanaceae.